RNAcentral lists this ribosomal RNA (395 nucleotides) under uncultured bacterium. RNAcentral's name for it is "bacterial SSU rRNA". It matches the Rfam family "Bacterial small subunit ribosomal RNA", at positions 358 to 770 of the family's 1533-position model. The record is from RNAcentral.
GGAAUCUUAGACAAUGGGCGCAAGCCUGAUCUAGCCAUGCCGCGUGAGUGAUGAAGGCCUUAGGGUCGUAAAGCUCUUUCAACGGUGAAGAUAAUGACUGUAGCCGUAGAAGAAACCCCGGCUAACUCCGUGCCAGCAGCCGCGGUAAUACGGAGGGGGUUAGCGUUGUUCGGAAUUACUGGGCGUAAAGCGCGCGUAGGCGGAUUGGAAGGUUGGGGGUGAAAUCCCAGGGCUCAACCCUGGAACUGCCUCCAAAACUAUCAGUCUAGAGUGCGAGAGAGGUGAGUGGAACUCCGAGUGUAGAGGUGAAAUUCGUAGAUAUUCGGAAGAACACCAGUGGCGAAGGCGGCUCAGUGGCUCGAUACUGACGCUGAGGUGCGAAAGUGUGGGGAGCA